Small nuclear RNA from Cercocebus atys (sooty mangabey), 125 nucleotides. NCBI's taxonomy places the organism in Eukaryota, Metazoa, Chordata, Mammalia, Primates, Cercopithecidae. The record is from Ensembl.
AUGUUUUAAGAAAGGAGGGAAAGUCAGCACUCCUCUUGACAAUGACAGAAAAGGCCCUGCAGCCUGACAACAUGCAUACAGUUAAGGUAUCGCCACCUACUUCAAGGCAUCAACUACUUCCACUA